CGUAUCCAACCUGCCCUUUACUCGGGGAUAGCCUUUCGAAAGAAAGAUUAAUACCCGAUAGCAUAAUGAUUCCGCAUGGUUUCAUUAUUAAAGGAUUCCGGUAAAGGAUGGGGAUGCGUUCCAUUAGGUUGUUGGUGAGGUAACGGCCCACCAAGCCUUCGAUGGAUAGGGGUUCUGAGAGGAAGGUCCCCCACAUUGGAACUGAGACACGGUCCAAACUCCUACGGGAGGCAGCAGUGAGGAAUAUUGGUCAAUGGGCGCUAGCCUGAACCAGCCAAGUAGCGUGAAGGAUGAAGGCUCUAUGGGUCGUAAACUUCUUUUAUAUAAGAAUAAAGUGCAGUAUGUAUACUGGUUUGGAUGUAUUAUAUGAGUAAGGAUCGGCUAACUCCGUGCCAGCAGCCGCGGUAAUACCGAGGAUCCGAGCGUUAUCCGGAUUUAUUGGGUUUAAAGGGAGCGUAAGUGGACUGGUAAGUCAGUUGUGAAAGUUUGCGGCUCAACCGUAAAAUUGCAGUUGAUACUGUCAGUCUUGAAUAC
RNAcentral lists this ribosomal RNA (534 nucleotides) under uncultured Bacteroides sp. RNAcentral describes it as "bacterial SSU rRNA". It matches the Rfam family "Bacterial small subunit ribosomal RNA", at positions 116 to 649 of the family's 1533-position model. Lineage: Bacteria; Pseudomonadati; Bacteroidota; Bacteroidia; Bacteroidales; Bacteroidaceae. The record is from RNAcentral.